This 104-nucleotide small RNA is filed under the name Klebsiella quasipneumoniae. RNAcentral's name for it is "partial RtT sRNA". It matches the Rfam family "RtT RNA", at positions 1 to 100 of the family's 130-position model. Rfam says of the family: This family represents a bacterial cis-regulatory element known as RtT RNA. The exact function of RtT is unknown although it is thought that it may be involved in changing the cellular response in relation to amino acid starvation. Lineage: Bacteria; Pseudomonadati; Pseudomonadota; Gammaproteobacteria; Enterobacterales; Enterobacteriaceae. The record is from RNAcentral.
UGCAUCUGCGGCCUGUGAGGAUGAGAACCUCCGGGGGGGGGGAGGUUCGACUCGAGCGAAGCGAGAGAACGUUGCGUCAGCAACGGCCCGCAGGGCGAGCCACA